GGCCUCGUGGUCUAGUGGUAUGAUUCUCGCUUCGGGUGCGAGAGGUCCCGGGUUCGAUUCCGGUGAGGCCC
Molecule: transfer RNA, 71 nt
Filed under: Phytophthora infestans (potato late blight agent)
Lineage: Eukaryota; Oomycota; Peronosporomycetes; Peronosporales; Peronosporaceae
Rfam family: tRNA
About the family: Transfer RNA (tRNA) molecules are approximately 80 nucleotides in length.
Source: Rfam by way of RNAcentral